RNAcentral lists this microRNA (23 nucleotides) under Limulus polyphemus (Atlantic horseshoe crab). Its description in RNAcentral is "Lpo-Mir-124-P20_5p* (star (passenger))". Lineage: Eukaryota; Metazoa; Arthropoda; Merostomata; Xiphosura; Limulidae. RNAcentral also lists the same sequence under 2 other names. The record is from RNAcentral.
CGUGUUCACUGUUGGCCUUGAUG